This 303-nucleotide ribosomal RNA is filed under the name uncultured bacterium. RNAcentral's name for it is "partial 16S ribosomal RNA". It matches the Rfam family "Bacterial small subunit ribosomal RNA", at positions 507 to 807 of the family's 1533-position model. The record is from RNAcentral.
AGCAGCAGCCGCGGGAAUACGGAGGAUCCAAGCGUUAUUUGGAAUCAUUGGGUUUAAAGGGUCCGUAGGCGGUCUUGUAAGUCAGUGGUGAAAGCCCAUCGCUCAACGGUGGAACGGCCAUUGAUACUGCAGGACUUGAAUUAUUGGGAAGUAACUAGAAUAUGUAGUGUAGCGGUGAAAUGCUUAGAGAUUACAUGGAAUACCAAUUGCGAAGGCAGGUUACUACCAAUUGAUUGACGCUGAUGGACGAAAGCGUGGGUAGCGAACAGGAUUAGAGACCCCUGUAGUCCCUGUCUCUUAUAC